RNAcentral lists this ribosomal RNA (427 nucleotides) under uncultured bacterium. RNAcentral describes it as "bacterial SSU rRNA". It matches the Rfam family "Bacterial small subunit ribosomal RNA", at positions 355 to 775 of the family's 1533-position model. The record is from RNAcentral.
UCGAGAAUUUUUCUCAAUGGGCGCAAGCCUGAAGGAGCGACGCCGCGUGGGGGAUGAAGGGUUUCGAUCCGUAAACCCCUGUCAUUUGUGAACAAUGGUUGCGAUUGAACAUUUCGUAACUUGAUAGUAAUGAAAGAGGAAGGGACGGCUAACUCUGUGCCAGCAGCCGCGGUAAUACAGAGGUCCCGAGCGUUGUUCGGAUUCACUGGGCGUAAAGGGUGCGUAGGUGGCAUGGAAAGUUUGAUGUGAAAGCUCAGGGCUUAACCCUGAAAUGGCAUUGAAUACUGCCGUGCUGGAGGUUUGGAGGGGGGACUGGAAUUCUUGGUGUAGCAGUGAAAUGCGUAGAUAUCAAGAGGAACACCAGUGGCGAAGGCGAGUCCCUGGACAACACCUGACACUGAGGCACGAAAGCUAGGGGAGCAAACAG